GAACUCGCGCAACUCAUCUCCACUCUUGAUCCACUCUCAUUUCUCCUCUGCUCAUCAGCCCUAGCCCUGAAACUGCGUUCCCCUCUCAGUUUCUUCGGAGUUAGAAGCGGCAUUGCUCGAUUGUUCGUGAGGGAAAGAGGCUGAACCAAGAUUAGCGGGGAACCCUCGAAAUUUCUCCCUAUCAUUAUCCUCUGCACGUCAGCUUUGGCUCUGAAACUGAUUUCUCCUCUCAGUUUCUUCCGAGUUAGAAGCAGCAUCGCAACCGUUAGUGUGGGAAACAGGCCGAACCAAAAUUAGCAGGGAAGCGUAGAAAACAUUGCUGGCCAAGAGGAUGCGUACCAAGAGGUUGCCUACCAAGUUGCUACGUAAAGAAUUGAAGGAAAUAUUGGCAACCAAGAGGAUGCCUACCAAGAGACCGUUUGAAGAACCGAAGGUGAAUGUGGGUGAAUAUUCUACUCUACCAGCUAAGAAACUGAGAACACAUUUUAGCCCCAAUUCAUCGAGUUCGAGAUUAAGGGAAUAUUUAUUUGCACUAAAUAGAUUCUAUUUAGAGGGUCACUCUUAAUUGGUUCAUUGUUAAGUGAAGUAGUUAUAUUUUGUUGCCCCUCUUAAUACCCUUCGAAUGGCUCUCUUUCCUAGCGAUGGUUUGCUGCUGCUUUCAUUGAGAACAAUGUUUUUUGUAAUUAUCCCAUCUCAUCUUGAUUGUAAUUUCUCAUACGAUUAGAGAUGGUGAACUCAAUUUAUUGUGUUCUCCCAAAAAAAACUAUUCUAAAUUUAUUGUAAUUAUAGCUUAUGAUAUUUGUUCUAUACGUUUUCAGCUAUACUGUUCCAUGAUGUAUAAAUUUGUUCUUUAUUUUUCAGAUUUGUAUGUUC
This is a long non-coding RNA of Malania oleifera, 873 nucleotides long. RefSeq lists it as uncharacterized. The record is from RefSeq and is a predicted model, not a curated record. Lineage: Eukaryota; Viridiplantae; Streptophyta; Magnoliopsida; Santalales; Ximeniaceae. The transcript has 5 exons.